UGCCCAAGUGGCCAGCGGCCAACGCCAAGUGGGAGAUUGGGAAAUCCUAUGUGGCACCCCAGCUUCCUCGAGGUCCCAUUGACGGAUUGUUUGAUUGGCGCAAACUUUGGGUAAUAAUGCGGAGGUUGAAACGCAGGGAAGGAUUGGCUACUCGAACAUUCUAAACUAGCCGCUACGCAAGGAUUCUAAGUUACAAUCAGACCACAAAAAUCCAAACCGCCAAUCAGACAACGUACGAUGCCGGGCCGUGGGGACUGGAAUUGUGCUGCACUUCAUACGGACACGCACAUUCUGGGGCAAUGAUGAACAAAACGAAACAGCAGGGUAUAGUUAUACGCGUAGUUACAAUAUCUGCCUACAUCAACAAGAGAGAGAGAGGGAGGGAGAGAGGGAGAGAGCACUGGAAAAAUUUUUUUUUUGAAAAGUGACCGAAUUGGAAAGAAGAUUGUCGCAUACCGAUCAUCCAACUCCAUAAGCCCGCUAGACCAAAUAUGAGUUUAGCCCAACCAGGCGGGAAGGGAGGGAAAUAUCAGAAAAAGCAAAACGAACAAGGCCAAAAAGAAGUAAAAAAUAAAAAAAUUAUACGGAAAACUCUCAAAGAGCAGUGGAAGUUCAAGAAAAAUUAGUUACCCAGUACGAGUGGUCUACAAUCAAUGGCUAAUCGAUCCGUCGUUCAUCUGAAAAAGAUUUCAUUUUAUCCGAUAGUUACUGGUGUCUUGUUAUAAUUGCUAUUCGCGGUUGCCGAAAUAAUACCAUAUGCUGGACCGUUGUUAUCUUGCUAGCGUGGAUUUCCAGUGGAGCAAAGCGGCGUUCUCACUGGGGGGUUUACUUUUCGUAGUUCCGGAUUCAUUUCUAUGGAUAAAGAUUAUGAACCGGGGCACGGUCCCGCUAGGAAUAUUUUAGGUUAGCGGGUUCCUGAAAACCUUCUUUUUCGAACUGAAUGUGCAGGAUGGGAUCUUUGAGAUCAUUCAACUUUUUGGGUUUCUGUUCCGUUUCUUGGUGCCUGAGACGGUUGACUCGGGAAUCAGGAUCAGCACGCAAAACUCAAUGGGAUUUUUUUUUCCCUGGCAAGAAAAAGCAAG
RNAcentral lists this small RNA (1082 nucleotides) under Histoplasma capsulatum. Its description in RNAcentral is "hypothetical RNA". RNAcentral also lists the same sequence under 1 other name. The record is from RNAcentral. Lineage: Eukaryota; Fungi; Ascomycota; Eurotiomycetes; Onygenales; Ajellomycetaceae.